AUUUGAAAUCUGGCAGUCUUCGAUUGUCCGAGUUGUAAUCUAUAGAAGCGUUUUCCGUGCUGAACUGUGUAUAAGUCCCUUGGAACAGGGUAUCAAAGAGGGUGACAAUCCCGUACUUUACACAAUCAUCAGUGCUCUGUGAUACGUUCUCUACGAGUCGAGUUGUUUGGGAAUGCAGCUCAAAAUGGGUGGUAAAUUCCAUCUAAAGCUAAAUAUUGGCGAGAGACCGAUAGCGAACAAGUACCGUGAGGGAAAGAUGAAAAGCACUUUGGAAAGAGAGUUAAACAGUACGUGAAAUUGUUGAAAGGGAAACGAAAUUCAUGAAUCAUGUUUAUUGGACUCAGCCGUUCUUCGGUGUACUUCCUUUAAACGGGUCAACAUCAGUUUUGUCCGAUGGAUAAAGGUAGUAGGAAGGUGGCUCUCUCGGGAGUGUUAUAGCCUAUUGCUGCAUACAUUGGAUGAGACUGAGGACUGCAGCUUGCCUUUAUGGCCGGGGUUCGCCCACGUUCAAGCUUAGGAUGUUGACAUAUUCUCGAAUCACGA
RNAcentral lists this ribosomal RNA (543 nucleotides) under Apiotrichum porosum. RNAcentral's name for it is "eukaryotic LSU rRNA". It matches the Rfam family "Eukaryotic large subunit ribosomal RNA", at positions 113 to 647 of the family's 3401-position model. The record is from RNAcentral. Lineage: Eukaryota; Fungi; Basidiomycota; Tremellomycetes; Trichosporonales; Trichosporonaceae.